RNAcentral lists this ribosomal RNA (292 nucleotides) under uncultured bacterium. RNAcentral's name for it is "partial 16S ribosomal RNA". It matches the Rfam family "Bacterial small subunit ribosomal RNA", at positions 505 to 796 of the family's 1533-position model. The record is from RNAcentral.
GUGUCAGCAGCCGCGGUAAGACAGAGGGUGCAAACGUUGUUCGGAAUUACUGGGCGUAAAGCGCGUGUAGGCGGCCCUGCAAGUCGGAUGUGAAAUCCCACGGCUCAACCGUGGAAGUGCAUUCGAAACUGCAGGGCUAGAGUCCUGGAGAGGAAGGUGGAAUGCUUGGUGUAGAGGUGAAAUUCGUAGAUAUCAAGCGGAACACCGGUGGCGAAGGCGGCCUUCUGGACAGUGACUGACGCUGAGACGCGAAAGCGUGGGGAGCAAACAGGAUUAGAUACCCUGGUAGUCC